Molecule: ribosomal RNA, 484 nt
Filed under: uncultured bacterium
Lineage: Bacteria
Description: partial 16S ribosomal RNA
Rfam family: Bacterial small subunit ribosomal RNA
Source: RNAcentral
AUUGAACGCUGGCGGCAGGCCUAACACAUGCAAGUCGAGCGGAUGAAGGGAGCUUGCUCCUGGAUUCAGCGGCGGACGGGUGAGUAAUGCCUAGGAAUCUGCCUGGCAGUGGGGGAUAACGUCCGGAAACGGGCGCUAAUACCGCAUACGUCCUGAGGGAGAAAGUGGGGGAUCUUCGGACCUCACGCUAUCAGAUGAGCCUAGGUCGGAUUAGCUAGUUGGUGGGGUAAAGGCCUACCAAGGCGACGAUCCGUAACUGGUCUGAGAGGAUGAUCAGUCACACUGGAACUGAGACACGGUCCAGACUCCUACGGGAGGCAGCAGUGGGGAAUAUUGGACAAUGGGCGAAAGCCUGAUCCAGCCAUGCCGCGUGUGUGAAGAAGGUCUUCGGAUUGUAAAGCACUUUAAGUUGGGAGGAAGGGCAGUAAGUUAAUACCUUGCUGUUGUGACGUUACCAACAGAAUAAGCACCGGCUAACUUCGUG